RNAcentral lists this ribosomal RNA (1526 nucleotides) under Klebsiella pneumoniae. RNAcentral's name for it is "bacterial SSU rRNA". It matches the Rfam family "Bacterial small subunit ribosomal RNA". The record is from RNAcentral. Lineage: Bacteria; Pseudomonadati; Pseudomonadota; Gammaproteobacteria; Enterobacterales; Enterobacteriaceae.
AAAUUGAAGAGUUUGAUCAUGGCUCAGAUUGAACGCUGGCGGCAGGCCUAACACAUGCAAGUCGAGCGGUAGCACAGAGAGCUUGCUCUCGGGUGACGAGCGGCGGACGGGUGAGUAAUGUCUGGGAAACUGCCUGAUGGAGGGGAUAACUACUGGAAACGGUAGCUAAUACCGCAUAAUGUCGCAAGACCAAAGUGGGGACCUUCGGGCCUCAUGCCAUCAGAUGUGCCCAGAUGGGAUUAGCUAGUAGGUGGGGUAACGGCUCACCUAGGCGACGAUCCUAGCUGGUCUGAGAGGAUGACCAGCCACACUGGAACUGAGACACGGUCCAGACUCCUACGGGAGGCAGCAGUGGGGAAUAUUGCACAAUGGGCGCAAGCCUGAUGCAGCCAUGCCGCGUGUGUGAAGAAGGCCUUCGGGUUGUAAAGCACUUUCAGCGGGGAGGAAGGCGGUGAGGUUAAUAACCUCAUCGAUUGACGUUACCCGCAGAAGAAGCACCAGCUAACUCCGUGCCAGCAGCCGCGGUAAUACGGAGGGUGCAAGCGUUAAUCGGAAUUACUGGGCGUAAAGCGCACGCAGGCGGUCUGUCAAGUCGGAUGUGAAAUCCCCGGGCUCAACCUGGGAACUGCAUUCGAAACUGGCAGGCUAGAGUCUUGUAGAGGGGGUAGAAUUCCGGUGUAGCGGUGAAAUGCGUAGAGAUCUGGAGGAAUACCGGUGGCGAAGGCGGCCCCUGGACAAAGACUGACGCUCAGGUGCGAAAGCGUGGGGAGCAAACAGGAUUAGAUACCACGGUAGUCCACGCCGUAAACGAUGUCGAUUUGGAGGUUGUGCCCUUGAGGCGUGGCUUCCGGAGCUAACGCGUUAAAUCGACCGCCUGGGAGUACGGCCGCAAGGUUAAAACUCAAAUGAAUUGACGGGGGCCCGCACAAGCGGUGGAGCAUGUGGUUUAAUUCGAUGCAACGCGAAGAACCUUACCUGGUCUUGACAUCCACAGAACUUUCCAGAGAUGGAUUGGUGCCUUCGGGAACUGUGAGACAGGUGCUGCAUGGCUGUCGUCAGCUCGUGUUGUGAAAUGUUGGGUUAAGUCCCGCAACGAGCGCAACCCUUAUCCUUUGUUGCCAGCGGUCCGGCCGGGAACUCAAAGGAGACUGCCAGUGAUAAACUGGAGGAAGGUGGGGAUGACGUCAAGUCAUCAUGGCCCUUGACCAGGGCUACACGUGCUACAAUGGCAUAUACAAAGAGAAGCGACCUCGCGAGCAAGCGGACCUCAUAAAGUAUGUCGUAGUCCGGAUUGGAGUCUGCAACUCGACUCCAUGAAGUCGGAAUCGCUAGUAAUCGUAGAUCAGAAUGCUACGGUGAAUACGUUCCCGGGCCUUGUACACACCGCCCGUCACACCAUGGGAGUGGGUUGCAAAGAAGUAGGUAGCUUAACCUUCGGGAGGGCGCUUACCACUUUGUGAUUCAUGACUGGGGUGAAGUCGUAACAAGGUAACCGUAGGGGAACCUGCGGUUGGAUCACCUCCUUA